Molecule: ribosomal RNA, 253 nt
Filed under: uncultured bacterium
Lineage: Bacteria
Description: partial 16S ribosomal RNA
Rfam family: Bacterial small subunit ribosomal RNA
Source: RNAcentral
UACGUAGGGGGCUAGCGUUGUCCGGAUUUAUUGGGCGUAAAGAGCGUGUAGGCGGCCAGGUAGGUCUGCUGUGAAAACUCGAGGCUCAACCUCGAGACGUCGGCGGAAACCAUCUGGCUAGAGUCCGGAGGAGGAGAGUGGAAUUCCUGGUGUAGCGGUGAAAUGCGCAGAUAUCAGGAAGAACACCUAUGGCGAAGGCAGCACUCUGGGACGGUACUGACGCUGAGACGCGAAAGCGUGGGGAGCGAACAGG